Molecule: ribosomal RNA, 327 nt
Filed under: uncultured eukaryote
Lineage: Eukaryota
Description: partial 18S ribosomal RNA
Rfam family: Eukaryotic small subunit ribosomal RNA
Source: RNAcentral
CCCUUAGAUGUUCUGGGCCGCACGCGCGCUACACUGAUGAAUGCAACGAGCUCUACCCUUGACCGAAAGGCCCGGGUAAACUUGUGAAACUUCAUCGUGAUGGGGAUAGAUUAUUGCAAUUAUUAAUCUUCAACAAGGAAUUCCUAGUAAGCGCGAGUCAUCAGCUCGCGUUGAUUACGUCCCUGCCCUUUGUACACACCGCCCGUCGCUCCUACCGAUUGAAUGGUCCGGUGAAAUCUUCGGAUUGCUGACCAAGAUCCAGCAAUGGAGCUUGGUUGCGAGAAGUUGAUUAAACCUUAUUAUUUAGAGGAAGGAGAAGUCGUAACA